This is a long non-coding RNA of Acinonyx jubatus (cheetah), 582 nucleotides long. RefSeq lists it as uncharacterized. The transcript is spliced from 3 exons. The record is from RefSeq and is a predicted model, not a curated record. NCBI's taxonomy places the organism in Eukaryota, Metazoa, Chordata, Mammalia, Carnivora, Felidae.
CAAUCUUAAUUAUCCUGAAAUACGAAUAGAAUGAGACCCACUGAUUAUUGAACAUUGAAUUUCUGAUAAAUAUUGAUUAAGUCAGUGAGAUUGAGAGAUGGUUUUCUUUAUUUUUUUUUUUCUUUUUCAGGGAAGAAUUUGAAGGCACACUUUAAUUCAUGGAGGUGCCAAGUGGAAGUUUGUGGUAGAUUGAGAUUUAGAACUCAAGAUUCAAGAACUCUCCUUUGCAUAUCGGAUAGUAACAGGCAUUAAAGGGUGCUCUGAGGACCUAGAAUAUGACAGAAGAAAAGAACCAUGUGUCUCAAUUCCAUAAAGAAGGGUCCUGGUUACACACAUCAAGCUGUGAUGUAUACAAGAAAUACACUUGUCUGUGUGUUAAACCACUGCAGUUUGGUGUAGUUUGCUUUUUUGCUUUACUGAUGAUUGAGAAAUUCAAAAGAAGAGAAAUCUAGGAACUGUUUCAGCAUCACUCAUCGAUUAUUAUCCCAUGCUUAAAAAUGACCAAAAUAAUAAGGAAAUGGACAAAGAAUGGAAUCACCCAGAAGGAUCAUGCAAGGAUCAUUACUGUUUUAUCAUCUGUAA